This 31-nucleotide small RNA is filed under the name Plasmodium falciparum 3D7. RNAcentral's name for it is "Pfa-npcR6160". The record is from RNAcentral. Lineage: Eukaryota; Apicomplexa; Aconoidasida; Haemosporida; Plasmodiidae.
AAAAUGAAAAAUUAAGAAAAAAGAACAAACA